RNAcentral lists this ribosomal RNA (788 nucleotides) under uncultured Staphylococcus sp. Its description in RNAcentral is "bacterial SSU rRNA". It matches the Rfam family "Bacterial small subunit ribosomal RNA", at positions 131 to 905 of the family's 1533-position model. The record is from RNAcentral. Lineage: Bacteria; Bacillati; Bacillota; Bacilli; Caryophanales; Staphylococcaceae.
UAUAAGACUGGGAUAACUUCGGGAAACCGGAGCUAAUACCGGAUAACAUUUAGAACCGCAUGGUUCUAAAGUGAAAGAUGGUUUUGCUAUCACUUAUAGAUGGACCCGCGCCGUAUUAGCUAGUUGGUAAGGUAACGGCUUACCAAGGCGACGAUACGUAGCCGACCUGAGAGGGUGAUCGGCCACACUGGAACUGAGACACGGUCCAGACUCCUACGAGAGGCAGCAGUAGGGAAUCUUCCGCAAUGGGCGAAAGCCUGACGGAGCAACGCCGCGUGAGUGAUGAAGGGUUUCGGCUCGUAAAACUCUGUUAUUAGGGAAGAACAAAUGUGUAAGUAACUGUGCACAUCUUGACGGUACCUAAUCAGAAAGCCACGGCUAACUACGUGCCAGCAGCCGCGGUAAUACGUAGGUGGCAAGCGUUAUCCGGAAUUAUUGGGCGUAAAGCGCGCGUAGGCGGUUUCUUAAGUCUGAUGUGAAAGCCCACGGCUCAACCGUGGAGGGUCAUUGGAAACUGGGAAACUUGAGUGCAGAAGAGGAAAGUGGAAUUCCAUGUGUAGCGGUGAAAUGCGCAGAGAUAUGGAGGAACACCAGUGGCGAAGGCGACUUUCUGGUCUGUAACUGACGCUGAUGUGCGAAAGCGUGGGGAUCAAACAGGAUUAGAUACCCUGGUAGUCCACGCCGUAAACGAUGAGUGCUAAGUGUUAGGGGGUUUCCGCCCCUUAGUGCUGCAGCUAACGCAUUAAGCACUCCGCCUGGGGAGUACGACCGCAAGGUUGAAACUCAAG